CCUACGGGUGGCAGCAGUGAGGAAUAUUGGUCAAUGGACGCGAGUCUGAACCAGCUAUGUCGCGUGAAGGAUGACUGCCCUCUGGGUUGUAAACUUCUUUUAUAUGGGAAUAAAAUGUUCCACGUGUGAGAUUUUGUAUGUACCAUAUGAAUAAGGAUCGGCUAACUCCGUGCCAGCAGCCGCGGUAAUACGGAGGAUCCGAGCGUUAUCCGGAUUUAUUGGGUUUAAAGGGAGCGUAGGUGGAUUGUUAAGUCAGUUGUGAAAGUUUGCGGCUCAACCGUAAAACUGCAGUUGAAACUGGUAGUCUUGAGUACAGUAGAGGUGGGCGGAAUUCGAGGUGUAGCGGUGAAAUGCUUAGAUAUGACGAAGAACUCCGAUGGCGAAGGCAGCUCCCUGGACUGCAACUGACGCUGAGGCUCGAAAGUGUGGGUAUCAAACAGGAUUAGAUACCCUUGUAGUC
RNAcentral lists this ribosomal RNA (460 nucleotides) under uncultured bacterium. RNAcentral's name for it is "partial 16S ribosomal RNA". It matches the Rfam family "Bacterial small subunit ribosomal RNA", at positions 338 to 795 of the family's 1533-position model. The record is from RNAcentral.